GACGAACCGAGCGAACGUUGUUCGGAAUCACUGGGCUUAAAGGGCGCGUAGGCGGGUGCUCAAGUCCGGGGUGAAAUCCUUCGGCUCAACCGGAGAACUGCCUCGGAUACUGGGUGCCUCGAGGGUGGUAGGGGUAUGCGGAACUAUCGGUGGAGCGGUGAAAUGCGUUGAUAUCGAUAGGAACUCCGGUGGCGAAGGCGGCAUACUGGACCACCUCUGACGCUGAGGCGCGAAAGCCAGGGGAGCAAACGGG
RNAcentral lists this ribosomal RNA (253 nucleotides) under uncultured bacterium. Its description in RNAcentral is "partial 16S ribosomal RNA". It matches the Rfam family "Bacterial small subunit ribosomal RNA", at positions 524 to 776 of the family's 1533-position model. The record is from RNAcentral.